This 492-nucleotide ribosomal RNA is filed under the name uncultured bacterium. RNAcentral's name for it is "partial 16S ribosomal RNA". It matches the Rfam family "Bacterial small subunit ribosomal RNA", at positions 29 to 507 of the family's 1533-position model. The record is from RNAcentral.
AGUGAACGCUGGCGGUAGGCCUAACACAUGCAAGUCGAACGGCAGCACAGUAAGAGCUUGCUCUUACGGGUGGCGAGUGGCGGACGGGUGAGGAAUACAUCGUACUCUACUCUUUCGUGGGGGUUAACGUAGCGAAACUUACGCUAAUACCGCAUACGACCUACGGGUGAAAGCAGUGGAUCUUCGGACCUUGCGCGAUUGAAUGAGCCGAUGUCGGAUUAGCUAGUUGGCGGGGUAAAGGCCCACCAAGGCGACGAUCCGUAGCUGGUCUGAGAGGAUGAUCGGCCACACUGGAGGUGAGACGCCGUCAAGACUCCUACGAGAGGCAGCAGUGGGGAAUAUUGGGCAGUGGGCGCGAGCCUGAUCCAGCCAGAGCGCGUGUGUGGAGAAGACCUUCGGGUUGUAAAGACCUUUUGUUGGGAGAGAAAAGCAGCAGGUUGAUACCAAGCUGUACUGACGGUACCCAAAGAAUAAGCACCGGCUAACUACGUG